AAUAUUUUCUAUAUUGACUCAUAAAAAUGCAUUAUGGUUUUAGCAGGUAUAGACAGUAAAUCCUCUUUUGCAACCCAGAACUCAUUGUUGAAUAUGAGUUUUGAUACAUGUAAGAAGGAAUAUG
This is a small nucleolar RNA of Perognathus longimembris pacificus (Pacific pocket mouse), 124 nucleotides long. RefSeq annotates it as small nucleolar RNA SNORA40. NCBI's taxonomy places the organism in Eukaryota, Metazoa, Chordata, Mammalia, Rodentia, Heteromyidae. The transcript has a single exon. The record is from RefSeq and is a predicted model, not a curated record.